This 474-nucleotide long non-coding RNA is filed under the name Mytilus galloprovincialis (Mediterranean mussel). The record is from RNAcentral. Lineage: Eukaryota; Metazoa; Mollusca; Bivalvia; Mytilida; Mytilidae.
CGUCGUCGUCGUCCUGUGUCGUCUUGCGUCGUCGUCGUCCGAAUACUUUUAUUUUUCGCACUCUAACUUUAGUAAAAGUGAAUAGAAAUCUAUGAAAUUUUAACACAAGGUUUAUAACCACAAAAGGAAGGUUGGGAUUGAUUUUGGGAGUUUUGGUCCCAAAAUUUUAGGAAUUAAGGGCCAAAAAGGGCCCAAAUAAGCAUUUUCGUGGUUUUCGCACUAUAACUUUAGUUUAUAGAAAUCUAUGAAAUUUUGACACAAGGUUUAUGACCACAAAAGGAAGGUUGGGAUUGAUUUUGGGAGUUUUAGUUCAAACAGUUUAGGAAUUAGGGGCCAAAAAAGGGCCCAAAUAAGCAUCAUUCUUGGUUUUCGCACAAUAACUUUAGUAUAAGUAAAUAGAAAUCAAUGAAAUUUAAACACAAGGUUUAUGACCACAAAAAAAGGAAGGUUGGGAUUGAUUUUGGGAGUUGAGGU